This 1242-nucleotide ribosomal RNA is filed under the name Triticum aestivum (bread wheat). RNAcentral's name for it is "partial small subunit ribosomal RNA". Lineage: Eukaryota; Viridiplantae; Streptophyta; Magnoliopsida; Poales; Poaceae. The record is from RNAcentral.
AUGAAUAACCUGUCCAUUACGUCGGAACUGUACCUGGAUGGUAACAAAUUCGAAGGGACGGUGCCUCGUGAUCUGUCAGGAGGGACUCUAAUGGUUAUUGAUUUGCAUGACAACGAGUUAUCUGGCAAACUUGAUAUGUCAUUAUGGAAUAGGUCUUCCUUGAAAGUCCUGAAUCUUGCUGGCAAUCAUAUAACUGGCAAAAUUCAUCCACAAAUUUGCAGCUUUACCAGACUUGAACUUUUAGAUAUAUCGAGCAACAAUCUUACAGGGUCGGUACCGAACUGUAGCUGCAUGUUGCUCCAUUUUCUUAACCUGUCUGGGAAUUCCUUAUCUAGCCAUAUUUCCUAUCCCUUCUUCAACAUAUCAAGUCUGAUUGCCUUGGAUAUCAGAAACAAUCAGUUUGCAGGCAACCUCCAUUGGAUAUGUUAUCUUGAUAACAUUAGGCUUCUUUCCUUGGGCGGAAAUAAGUUUGAAGGGCAGGUCACUCCAAACUUGUGUGAACUCUUGCACUUGAGGAUAAUUGACUUGUCUCAUAACAAGCUUUCAGGUUCAUUACCCUCAUGUAUUGGUAAUUUCUUUUUCAAAGGUGACAGGGGCGAUCAAAUUUUCCAGGUAGUAUUAACGAGUUUACCGUACUCACUUAAGCCAUAUGACAAUCCUUAUGGCUUGAGAGGUUUUAGCUUUACUACCAAAGGGAAUAUGUACACAUAUGGUCGAAGUUUCUUUGUUUCAAUGUCCGGCGUCGACCUAUCUGCGAAUAUGCUGCAUGGAGAAAUUCCUUGGGAGUUAGGAAACAUGAGCCAUAUCAAAUCCCUUAACUUGUCAUACAAUUUCUUUGUUGGCCCGAUCCCAGAGACCUUUGGCGGCAUGGAGGAGAUUGAAAGCUUGGACCUCUCACACAAUGAGCUGAGUGGACCAAUACCUUGGCAGCUAGUGCGGUUAUGUUCAUUGGGGGUGUUCUCUGUGGCAUACAACAACUUGUCAGGAUGCAUACCGAACUCUGGUCAGCUUGGCUCAUUCGGCAUGGAGAGCUACCUAGCCAACACCAACCUUCACAAGAUUACGCAGGGGAACAUGUGCACUCCCAGCCUAGACCCCAUAGCGGAGGAAGAUGUGUGUGAGAUGUUUGGUGACCCAAUCCUAUACAUGGUCAUGGCUGCCGGGUUUAUUUUGGCAUUUUGGGCCACUGUUGCUUUUUCAUUAUUCCAUCCGUACGGGACGUCUGUAAUGUUCAAGCUGUAG